UGUUCCUACUAAGGUGGCCUCACGAAGCCUGGGUCUUUUUCCUAAGAGCACAAAACCUCUUGUCUUUUACAAGGUCGGUAAGAGCUGACAGGCCUGACCCAGAUCCUCCCCAAGACUUAAGCAGUGCACAGUGGGGAGCAUUGAAGAAAUAAGGGAGUUAAGGACGCCCUUCCCUUCCCGGGUGCACUAGGCCCAGUUAACAGCAGACUGCAGUCCCCUCUGCUGUCUCUGGGCUCCUCAAGCUCUGUUCUUCCUCUGCCACCACAGACAUGACAUCCUCUGUAGCUUCUGAGGCAAAAGGAAGGUUGUGUUCACUAGUGCAGAUUCUUCUCCUCUCCAGUGGGCAGAGGUUCCAGUCCUUCUCUCACCCUGCAGCUAGAUGCCAGGUUUAUGAGGUCAGUCUUAGGGCCAGGCUUAGCAUUGAGAAAGGUGAUACCUCAAUGGACUCUUUGUCUCCACCUCCUUCACCACUUCCUACCUUCUUUCUGUAACAGGUGGGACACUGUUCUUGGAAUGUCUUGUGCUACUCACUUCUCUUUGCUUGUACUCUUAUCUUGUGUAUGAGGUUUGCCUCCCAUCAUUACACAGAACACAUCUCCUUUCAGUAUUUUACAGGCUAUAUAAAAUCUGAUUCAUACUAGGUUCUCAAGUUAGAGAUUUUACUUUAAAAUCAUUUCAUUUUCCUUCUGGGCUCACUGUGCUUUAAGUUCCUGUAGACUCACAGAUGAGCAAGGAUUACCAGGAAAGUAGAAUGAAUACACAGACCAGAGGAGCUCUGCAGCUAGCUGAGCUUCUUGUGAGCUUUGUUGCUGUCUCAGAGAAAUUUCUCUGCUCAUUUGUGAGAACCCCUCUUCUUUUCACCACUGAAGAUCUGAAAAACUUAUACCAUUCUAGUUGCAAUUUGAGGGUGUACAUGAGUGGUUUGAAAUGGAAAAAUAGAUGGCAGUUAAUUGCUAUGUUGAAAGGGAGGGAAGGGGUGGAGUUUUGUUUUGAUAUUCAGGUUCUUUGAAGAGCCUCCUUUGUUCAUUCAAUAACAAAUAUUUCUUGGGUUCCUUCCUCUUGCGUGCCAGUCACUGACAGUUGGCAGUACGAUACUUCGUAGACACAAGGCUCCCCUUCUGAGCCUUUACACCUUCUAGCUGGGGAGACAGUUCUUCAACAUAGAAAUAAUAAUCCAAUGUCAGGUAGUGAUAAGAUAAAGAUUACCUGGGUAGAGCAGAUGGACAUGGCACUUCGGUUGGGGUGGUCACAGGGCAUCUUGGGAGACGAACAAUUUGAAGAUAAAUGUGAGUGUUCAGGAUGGAAGCAUUCCAUGUGGAGAUUAGAGGCCCUGGUUUGUUGCUGGAUGGAGAAUGGUAGAGACCUGCAGGGACAUGUUUUCCACCUGAGGACAGGAUCAUCCUGGUUGCCACUUGAGUGGCCCCUAGAGGUGUGGUGUGCAAGAGGAUUCUUCCCUGGCUGUCCAGGAGGACGUUUUCAGAACUGAGGCACAGCAUGGGCGUCAUGAACCCAGGCCCCUUCUCAACCUCCUUUAUGCCAUCCUUCCAGAGGCUGGACAGCCACCAAGGGUUAACCUUUCUGUGUCCCUUUCCUCUUCUGUAAAAAUACCCAGUUCAAUGCAGAAAGGGUUCAACAUAGCUAGUACCAGGCACCAAGAACAUUGUUGGACACACAAUGUCUAGAAUAAGGAAGUGGUAGGAGGUGUCCGACAGUGGCCUUGGUUGCUUUUGGUUAUCUUUUGGGGCAUGGGGACUAACAAAGCAAAGGGAGGCUCCCUCAAGCUUUAUUCUUCGUAACAGUGGUGAUGCCUGAGCCGUGGCUUCUUAACCCCCAUUGGGUUCAUGGGAACCAGCCUCUGGAAGGAUAUUUAUCACCAAAACAAAUGUCAUGCAGGGAUGUGCAGGUCAGCGGUACAUGCAGGUCAGGUAAUUUCCCUCACUGCAUAUGGCAUGCACUGAUAGUUUUAAAACUUUGUUUUAUUAAAUGUGGGUUGACUAUUAAAUUGAUUGUAUGGUUCACAAAUGGAAGGCAGUCGUGGUUUCAGAAAUUUAUUUAGAUGAUCUCUGAGACCCCUUAAACUAGCUGAGAGAGUUCUGAGUCAAAGCCUACAUUCUAGCUGUCAAGAAUUAGUUUUAUCAUUUGUACAAAGUUGCAGUAUUUCUAAGCCUUGGAGACUUGGUCAGACCUCAUUUUAAAGAUGAAGAAGCCAUUAAUCCAAAGAAAAGAGACUGGCCCCGACGCUCCCAGUUAAAAUUUCUGUGCCUUUAAAUGUUUUCUCCACCAAACUGCUUGUCACUACCAGCCCCUUCAUCUGCAGUCCAACUCCCAGCUUACAUCCUGGAUCUGGAAGACCUUUCCAAAGCCACUUGGCUCUUCAUUCUGUCCUUGUUCUCCACCUGGAUCUUGGUGACUGCAUUGAAACAUGUUGGUGACCAUAGGACUGGAUCACAGGCCUCAUCUCUGCAGAAACUGGAUGACCAGCUCAGCACCCCACGGACACUGUUCUCUGCAUGGGGGACCCUUACCAUUGGUAGACAGGCCUUGCCUCUUGCCUGGCCACUGUCAACCUUGGACACACUUGGGACGGGAUCUCUUGGCUUUCCCUGAAAUGUAACUGAAUUAUUCCCAGACUCCUCUUUUUAAGACUUCUUUUAUCUUAAAGAAGGUCAUCACCAAGAGAUGACGAAGGGAUUAGAUGCUUUGCCUGUAAGUCACUGUGACUGGGGCAGCGAUACGUGCAGGUCAGGUGCAUAAAGGUCAGCGGUACACGCAGGUCAGGCAGCGAGCAAUACAUGCAGGCCACUCCUGUGAUGGCACUGCUGGAGUUGUUUUGGUAAGCUUCCCAGUAAAACAUAUAUACUCUUUCCCAAUUUACUUGCAUUCCUGGAAAAUAAAUUUUUUUUUAAAGUGAGCAAAUAGUUUGUGCAAAAUAGAGUUAGCUCGCAGGCUCAAAUGACUUAAGAUUUUUUUCAUCUUUACAUGAAUGUUGGGAAAGACUAGAAGGUGUAAUAGAUGACAUAUCUUGGCAUUGCCAGAGUUUACUGUCUAGGAGCAGGCCACUAAUCACCAUGAGCAGGAAUGCCUCAAAUUUCCAGUGUGUCCCCUGGGGGUGGCAUCACUUAGAAUCAAGACUUCAGAAUUCUGCUGAAGAUGAAAAGGUUCCCUGUGGCCUCAGCUUUUAAUUUUAAAACUGCUGUCACUCCCUGGCCCUCAUGGGCCACCUGCCUGUGGUCGGUAGUUGUUCCUCCUUGGUUAGCCUGACUUCAGCCUGGACCUCAAGACAGUGCUGGGGUUUAAGGAGGUCCUGCACUGACCCUGCUGCAGGAGGAAGCCCUGCCCAGGUCUGUCUGGCAUUCAGGUAGGUCAGCUUCCACCCAGGUAGGCACUGAAGCUGGGAGACAGUGCUGUUAUUCCUCUUUUUUUAAAAAAAAGAUAUUUUUUAUUUGUUCUAAUUACUUAUACAUGAUAGUAUAAUGCAUUUUGCUACAUCAUACAUACUUGGAUAUAACUUCUAAUUGCCUGAUAGUCCAUGAUGUAUAGUCACACAGGUCAUGUAAUCAUAUGUACACAUAGGGUAAUGAUGUCCUAUUCAUUCUACUGUCAUUCCUACCCCCUGACCCCUUCCACUUCCUUCACUCUCCUCUGUCUUGUUCAAACUACCUCUGUUCUCCCACCCAUUGUAAAUUAGCAGCUGCAUAUCAGAAAACAAUUGGCCUUUGGUUCUUUGGGAUUGGCUUAUUUUGCUUAGCAGAAUAUUCUCCAGUUCCAUCCAUUUACUGGCAACUGCCAUAAUUUCAUUCUUCUUUAAGUCUAAGUAAUAUUCCAUUGUGUAUAUAUUACCAUAGUUUCUUUAUCCAUUAAACUGUUGAAGGGCAUCUAGGUUUGUUCCAUAAUUUAGCUAUUAUGAAUUAAGCUGCUAUAACAUUGAUGUGGCUGUGUCACUGUAGUAGACUGGUUUUAAGUCCUUUGGGUAUAAAUCUUGGAGUGGGAUAACUGGGUCAAGUGGUGGUUUCAUUCCAAAUUUUCUAAAGACUGAGGAAGACCUGGUGGUAGGAGAAAGUUCAGUGGGUGGUGGGUCCCCAUGGUCUUCACUUUCUCUCUCCAGCAUUCUGCAGUUUUCAUUGUACAGGUUUCUCACUUCUUGGUUGAUUUAUUUCCAUUUUUUUAAAUGUUAUUGUGAAUGGAAUUGUUUCUCUGAUUUCUUUCUCAGCAGAUUCAUCAUUAAAGGGUAAAAGAGCUGAUGCAGGAGUGC
This 4252-nucleotide long non-coding RNA is filed under the name Marmota monax (woodchuck). The record is from RNAcentral. Lineage: Eukaryota; Metazoa; Chordata; Mammalia; Rodentia; Sciuridae.